AUACGGAGGGUGCAAGCGUUACUCGGAAUCACUGGGCGUAAAGCGCGCGCAGGCGGUCUUUUAAGUUGGAUGUGAAAGCCUACGGCUCAACCGUAGAACUGCAUCCAAAACUAUUAGACUAGAGUGUGGGAGAGGAAGAUGGAAUUAGUUGUGUAGGGGUAAAAUCCGUAGAGAUAACUAGGAAUACCAAAAGCGAAGGCAAUCUUCUGGAACACUACUGACGCUGAGGCGCGAAAGCGUGGGGAGCAAACAGGAUUAGAAACACUAGUAGUCC
RNAcentral lists this ribosomal RNA (274 nucleotides) under uncultured bacterium. Its description in RNAcentral is "partial 16S ribosomal RNA". It matches the Rfam family "Bacterial small subunit ribosomal RNA", at positions 523 to 796 of the family's 1533-position model. The record is from RNAcentral.